Molecule: unclassified non-coding RNA, 1507 nt
Filed under: uncultured fungus
Lineage: Eukaryota; Fungi
Description: sequence contains 18S rRNA gene, ITS1, 5.8S rRNA gene, ITS2, 28S rRNA gene
Source: RNAcentral
GACUCGAAGAGAAGCGGAAGGACAAAACGAUCACUGCGAACCUGUCCGCGCGCGUUGUGCUCGCGCCGGAUGCGGCGAUGGUGCCGCUGCUCGAGCAGUAUCGUGAUUUCCUGCCGACGUUGUUCGGCGUAUCCGAGAUCGAGAUCAAGCCCCCAAGCCCGCAAGCCCUUAAGCCCUCGGUUGAAAAAGGCCGCAGGCACCAAAUGCGACCGCUGCUGGCGGUAUGUGGCCGAGGUCAGCGUUGAACCCGAUCGGGCCGGACUCUGUUCUCGCUGCGUGGAAGCGCUCGCGGAACCGGUGAGCCUGUAGUGCUCGCCUCGCGACGGCUCGAGCUGAUCGUUUCCGUGACCGUGGUGAUCCUCGAUCAGAUCACCAAGGCGCUGGUUCGUCCGGCGCUGGCGCUGCACGAGAGCCGCGAGGUCAUCCCGGGCUUUCUCGACCUGACCCGCGUGCACAACACCGGCGCGGCCUUCGGCAUGCUGAACUCGGUGGACUUUCCGUUCAAGACGGUGGUCCUCUCACUCGUCGCGGCCAUCGCCCUCGGCGGCGUCGCGUGGUACGCUGCCACGGUGCCGCUCAGCGAUCGGCUGGCGCGCUUCGGCAUUGCCGGCGUGCUGGGCGGGGCGAUCGGCAACCUGAUCGACCGCGCGAGAAGCGGCUACGUGCUGGAUUUUGUCGAUGCCUAUUGGGGCGCCUGGCAUUUCUGGGCGUUUAACGUCGCCGACGCGGCGAUCACCGUCGGCGUGAUCUUCAUGAUUCUCGAUAUUCUGGGACUAGGGAAACGUUCCAACGGGCAGGCCUCAAUCAAUGCAUCCAAUCCUGUUUAGCGCCGGGCCGGUCACCAUCUACUCGUACGGCGUGCUGCUCGCCUCCGCCUAUCUGCUUGGCCUGUGGCUCGCCGUGAGGCGCGCCCGCGCCGCCGGCAUCGACGGCAACCGGAUCAUGGACCUCCUGAUCUGGGUGAUCAUCGCCGCGCUGGUCGGGGCGAAAUCGCUGCUGUUCGUGGUCGACUUCAAUCACUUCACGAGCAGCUGGCAGGAAUUCACCACGCUGUUGCGCUCCGGCGGCGUGUUCUACGGCGGCCUGAUCGCCGCCAUCGUCGUGUGCAUCUGGCAGCUGCGCAAACAUCGCCUGCCGCUGUGGUCAUCCGGCGAUCUGUUCGCGCCCGGCAUCGCCCUCGGCUACAUGGUCGGCCGCCUCGGAUGCUUGAUGGCCGGUUGCUGCUACGGCAAGCCGACCACCGUGGCAUGGGCGGUGACGUUUACCGAUCCUGCCGCGAACUUCAACGUCGGCACGCCGCUGAACGUGGCGCUGCACCCGACGCAGUUGUACGAAUCCGCCGCCGGCCUCGUGAUCCUGAUCGCGCUGCUGCUGAUCGAGAAACGUCCCGGACAUUUCCCCGGCCGGACGUUCUGGAGCUUUGCGUUCCUCUACGCCGUCCUGCGAUUCAUCAUCGAGUUCUUCCGUGGCGACGAUCGCGGCCUGGUCCUUAACCUGCUGUCAACCU